AAAGCCCCCUGCCUGCUGUCUGCAAAGAGAAGCCAUUGUUUUCCCAGUGUGGGGUAACCCUCAAGGACUCUGGGAGCUCUAAGAACAGUGGAGCCUGUCAAGGCUGGUUUCGGCGUUUAGAAGAAAGGAGGCUGAGCGCAUUUACAUCUCCGGCUCCCACCGCCCUUCUGGAUCCGGUGGGGAGAGGCCAGCGGUCCGCGCCCGGGACUGCCCCGCCACAGCCAGGGCUCUGGGUGGCAGAUAGGCCUGCUGAGUGCAGGGUGCUGGCGAGGGUUAUCUUGAGGCACCGCAUUUUAUCCCAUAAAGCAAUCCUGGUUCCCCCAAAA
Molecule: long non-coding RNA, 326 nt
Filed under: Rattus norvegicus (Norway rat)
Lineage: Eukaryota; Metazoa; Chordata; Mammalia; Rodentia; Muridae
Description: long non-coding RNA NONRATT018017
Source: RNAcentral